UUUGGUUUAUAGGUUUUUGAAAUAUAUCAUUCAAUUAUUUAUGAAAUUUGGUACAUGGUUCAGUCUUGGUUCGAUUAUUUUAGUUUUUAGUUUGGUUCAGAUAAUAAUAUUUACCCUAAUACAAUUAUUUGAAGCAGAUAAUGAAGUCUCGUACCCAAAAAGGAAAGGACUAUAAUUCAUUAACAAGGGUUUACAUAAUGAAGUAGACAUGCAUAUUAGAAAAAUUAAGAUAUUGCGGAGACUAUAAUUUUAUAUUAAUAGUAUUUAAAUAAGUCUUAUUAAUUUUAAUUGACAUUUUAUUA
RNAcentral lists this long non-coding RNA (302 nucleotides) under Brassica napus (rape). Its description in RNAcentral is "long non-coding RNA (BNAP_LNC014895)". Lineage: Eukaryota; Viridiplantae; Streptophyta; Magnoliopsida; Brassicales; Brassicaceae. The record is from RNAcentral.